CCGGAGCUAACGCGUUAAGUCGACGCCUGGGGAGUACGGCCGCAAGGUUAAACAUCAAUGAAUUCGACGGGGCCGCACAAGCGGUGGAGCAUGUGGUUUAAUUCGAUGCAACGCGAAGAACCUUACCUGGUCUUGACAUCCACGGAAGUUUUCAGAGAUGAGAAUGUGCCUUCGGGAACCGUGAGACAGGUGCUGCAUGGCUGUCGUCAGCUCGUGUUGUGAAAUGUUGGGUUAAGUCCCGCAACGAGCGCAACCCUUAUCCUUUGUUGCCAGCGGUCCGGCCGGGAACUCAAAGGAGACUGCCAGUGAUAAACUGGAGGAAGGUGGGGAUGACGUCAAGUCAUCAUGGCCCUUACGACCAGGGCUACACACGUGCUACAAUGGCGCAUACAAAGAGAAGCGACCUCGCGAGAGCAAGCGGACCUCAUAAAGUGCGUCGUAGUCCGGAUUGGAGUCUGCAACUCGACUCCAUGAAGUCGGAAUCGCUAGUAAUCGUGGAUCAGAAUGCCACGGUGAAUACGUUCCCGGGCCUUGUACACACCGCCCGUCACACCAUGGGAGUGGGUUGCAAAAGAAGUAGGUAGCUUAACCUUCGGGAGGGCGCUUACCACUUUGUGAUUCAUGACUGGGGUGAAGUCGUAACAAGGUAACCGUAGGGGAACCUGCGGUUGGAUCACCUCCUUA
This 684-nucleotide ribosomal RNA is filed under the name Rhodococcus qingshengii. RNAcentral's name for it is "bacterial SSU rRNA". It matches the Rfam family "Bacterial small subunit ribosomal RNA", at positions 846 to 1533 of the family's 1533-position model. Lineage: Bacteria; Bacillati; Actinomycetota; Actinomycetes; Mycobacteriales; Nocardiaceae. The record is from RNAcentral.